RNAcentral lists this ribosomal RNA (370 nucleotides) under uncultured Klebsiella sp. RNAcentral describes it as "bacterial SSU rRNA". It matches the Rfam family "Bacterial small subunit ribosomal RNA", at positions 808 to 1178 of the family's 1533-position model. Lineage: Bacteria; Pseudomonadati; Pseudomonadota; Gammaproteobacteria; Enterobacterales; Enterobacteriaceae. The record is from RNAcentral.
GAUGUCGAUUUGGAGGUUGUGCCCUUGAGGCGUGGCUUCCGGAGCUAACGCGUUAAAUCGACCGCCUGGGGAGUACGGCCGCAAGGUUAAAACUCAAAUGAAUUGACGGGGGCCCGCACAAGCGGUGGAGCAUGUGGUUUAAUUCGAUGCAACGCGAAGAACCUUACCUGGUCUUGACAUCCACAGAACUUUCCAGAGAUGGAUUGGUGCCUUCGGGAACUGUGAGACAGGUGCUGCAUGGCUGUCGUCAGCUCGUGUUGUGAAAUGUUGGGUUAAGUCCCGCAACGAGCGCAACCCUUAUCCUUUGUUGCCAGCGGUUAGGCCGGGAACUCAAAGGAGACUGCCAGUGAUAAASUGGAGGAAGGUGGGG